This 422-nucleotide ribosomal RNA is filed under the name uncultured bacterium. RNAcentral's name for it is "bacterial SSU rRNA". It matches the Rfam family "Bacterial small subunit ribosomal RNA", at positions 355 to 774 of the family's 1533-position model. The record is from RNAcentral.
UAAGGAAUAUUGGACAAUGGAGGCAACUCUGAUCCAGCCAUGCCGCGUGAAGGAAUAAGGCCCUAUGGGUUGUAAACUUCUUUUAGACGGGACAAAACCCCUUUACGUGUAAAGGGUUGAUGGUACUGUCAGAAUAAGCAUCGGCUAACUUCGUGCCAGCAGCCGCGGUAAUACGAAGGAUGCAAGCGUUAUCCGGAAUUAUUGGGUUUAAAGGGUGCGUAGGCGGACUAAUAAGUCAGUGGUGAAAGCCUGCAGCUUAACUGCAGAAUUGCCAUUGUUACUGUUAGUCUUGAGUACAGUUGAGGUAGGCGGAAUGUGUCAUGUAACGGUGAAAUGCUUAGAUAUGACACAGAACACCGAUUGCGAAGGCAGCUUGCUAAGCUGUAACUGACGCUGAGGCACGAAAGCGUGGGGAGCAAACA